Molecule: long non-coding RNA, 1313 nt
Filed under: Anser brachyrhynchus (Pink-footed goose)
Lineage: Eukaryota; Metazoa; Chordata; Aves; Anseriformes; Anatidae
Description: lncRNA (ENSABRG00000005679.1)
Source: RNAcentral
CAAACAGGUGUCUGUUUUCUGGCUCUCCAUGCAAACUCAGUUCCAGAGAGCAGAUGGUAAUAGUUAGCUGCCUUCUGCACCUGCAUGGAUGAGAGCAGAUCUGAAGAACCUCUCCUGCAUGUUGAGUAGCUCAGAGCAAUAUUUAGAUGACCUUGUGGUUAACACAUAAGUAGCCAACUGCAUCCAGCCUGGCACUGACACUGUGGUGAUCACUUAUGGAGCAGAAUUCAAGGUAGAAAAUGUUUUGGGGAAACUAAGAUAAGGCAGGAUGAUCCAUGGCAUCACCUUCUAAAAAGGUAUCUCAGGAACAGUACCAGCAUAAAUGGACAAUACCUGCCCAGGUCUCCUCUGCCAAGUUUCAGGAAUUCUUACAGCAAUCACAUGAAUAAACUCAUUUGGUGUAUUUGCUGUCAGAAUUCAGCUAAGGGUUUGGGGACUUCUUAAUUAAACACAUUAAAGCAGUUAGAGCUAGUUUUCUAAACAUGCAUGGGGUUCCAUUGGUUAUUGGAUUAACCUAAUCUGUAACACCUGAGAGAAGGAAGGUGUGGGAGGGAGGGAUUUGAAGCCUGAGUUUUUUGAAGGUGAUAAACAGCCCGAGGACCAGUGAUCUAGAAAGAGAGGGAUUGAGAGAAAAAAAGAGAGAAAAGAGAGAUGAGGACUAAAAAGGGAAUUAAGGAACUUCUUGCAAAACAGGAAAAUCCAAGCAGCAUAAAGUCACUGAAAGAAAGGAGAAAUCAGUGAAGAGUAAGAAAAAUUUGGAAAUCACCAUUAAAAAAACAGUAGUUCAGGGAAAGAUGUAUAUUUGAGAAAGGUUUAAUUAUUCACUACCUGUUUCUAGUCAUGCUCUGAGAUUCAGACUUGAGGCUCUGACUCUCGAACAGAUCAAUAGCAGCUCUGGGCAGGUCAGGCAUUCACCUCCAGGGCAGAAGAGUCAAGCUUGCAGGUUUGGCCUCAGCUCACAGGCCAUUGCUUGCUCCAGUGUGCUGAACAUGAGGUCUAUGACCCCUUUCAGGCGGUUAUCUUCUUGGGGGUAUUUCUGCUCCUGGGCAUUUUUCACCACAUUGUACAACUUACUGGGGGGCAGAAUCACCUUUGAGUACCUGACUGGGUUCUAAGGGUCAAUGACUAGAAGGUCCAGGUACUUUUCCUGGAAGAACACUAAGACUACAGCAUCAUCAGCACGUCAGUGUCUCUGCGCAACGUGAAGGACAGCUCUUGUCUGGGACAUACUUUUUAGGUAAAAAGAGGAACCUAACAGAGAACUUAGUGAGUGGAUGAAAAUAAAUGAUUAUUCAGUUUUUUAAAAUACUGCA